Chelonoidis abingdonii (Abingdon island giant tortoise) is the source of this 162-nucleotide unclassified non-coding RNA. NCBI's taxonomy places the organism in Eukaryota, Metazoa, Chordata, Testudines, Testudinidae. The record is from Ensembl.
AUGAAAGGCCUGGAGGCCAAAUUCCUGUACCCACAGAAUAAGUAAAACCCAGGUGGUAGCAGUGCAGGCUUCCCCAUGCUGCCCUGUCAAUGAGCCUCAGUUCUGAGAGUAUCCAAGUGAGUGGGCCAUUUUGUCCUUGUGCCCAUUCAGUCUUUGACCUUG